Non-coding RNA from Schistosoma margrebowiei, 46 nucleotides. Lineage: Eukaryota; Metazoa; Platyhelminthes; Trematoda; Strigeidida; Schistosomatidae. The record is from Rfam.
GCACUGCUGAGGAGUUCCACAAUAGGACGAAACGGCUGUCCAGUAC